AACUAAGUUUGUUCUUGGUAUAAGCUUUCAUGUGCAUGCACACUUCUUCAGAUAUCUGGGUAGUAUCUGAAGAAGUGUGCAUGCACACGAAAGCUUAUCAUCAUCAUCAUCAAUCUUUAU
RNAcentral lists this microRNA precursor (120 nucleotides) under Podarcis lilfordi (Lilford's wall lizard). Lineage: Eukaryota; Metazoa; Chordata; Lepidosauria; Squamata; Lacertidae. The record is from RNAcentral.